CAGCAGCCGCGGUAAUACGUAGGUGGCAAGCGUUGUCCGGAUUUAUUGGGCGUAAAGGGAGCGCAGGCGGUUUAGUAAGUCUGAAGUUAAAGGCAUUGGCUCAACCAAUGUAUGCUUUGGAAACUGGGAAACUUGAGUGCAGAAGAGGAGAGUGGAAUUCCACGUGUAGCGGUGAAAUGCGUAGAGAUGUGGAGGAACACCAGUGGCGAAGGCGACUCUCUGGUCUGUAACUGACGCUGAGGAGCGAAAGCGUGGGGAGCGAACAGGAUUAGAUACCCGAGUAGUCCCUGUCUCUUAUACC
This 301-nucleotide ribosomal RNA is filed under the name uncultured bacterium. RNAcentral describes it as "partial 16S ribosomal RNA". It matches the Rfam family "Bacterial small subunit ribosomal RNA", at positions 509 to 808 of the family's 1533-position model. The record is from RNAcentral.